This is a long non-coding RNA of Cercocebus atys (sooty mangabey), 1821 nucleotides long. RefSeq lists it as uncharacterized. Lineage: Eukaryota; Metazoa; Chordata; Mammalia; Primates; Cercopithecidae. The record is from RefSeq and is a predicted model, not a curated record. The transcript has 6 exons.
GUUGAGGGGGGGCGGGGUGAGGGGAGGAAGAGAGGACGAAGGAAAAAUGCCAGGAGAGGGAGAAGAAAGAAAUGUUCCUUUUGCAAAAGGAGGCAUAAUAUGGCUUAGAGGUUGCCAAAGCAAAAGAACAGUCCCUUUCUCUGCCCUGGGGGAGCCGGGAAGAUGUGCAGCCCCAGCCCUCGUCCUCAGCGGAGCCUCGCGCGCGCAGAGCCUAGCGCGAUUCGCGCCCUCAUUACCACUACAAAGCACGGGCCAGACCAAUCCCCUUUCUAAUGCACCAUUUUCGACUGAGAACAUCAAGAGGCCAGAAACUUCCAAGUGAGCUUGCAGACGCAGACGCCUCCUGGGUCCUGGCUUUAAGAACCAGAUGCCAACAUUCCCGGACAGUUUAUGGCAUCCGGAUCCCUCAAGGGUGCUCAUCUGCAGUUGAGAGUCUAAUAAACGGCAUUAACAAAGCGUUUCAACGACUACCACGGCUUAACAGUGGCUCCUCCCCUGCCCUGCCACCAUUCGGGCCGUAAUUCCUUCCAGGAUUCCCGCACCGUCCUGUGUGCCCAGAGCUCUCUAGAGCACCAGGAUUCUGUGUGAAGAAUACAGAGACAGACGUUACAUUUCAAAGAAGAAAGGACGAUACGACGGCCCUCUUUAAGGAGAGCGUAAACAUGCACUUUAGGUAAAAGCUAAUCUUUUACACGCCUGUGCACGGCACACCUCUUUUGCUGUUCGCCUUGACCCCGAGUUUGGAAAGACUGCCCCCAUUUCAGAGAGUAAGAAACGCAGGCACACAUGAAUGACAGACGACUCUGUGGUGGCCUAGACUCCAGCCAACACUUCUGGGACAACCUGCCAUCGUGCAUGGGUGUGUAACCUUGACUCCAGUCACCAUGUAACAAAUGCAGACAUCUCUGAGAUCACCAUGUAGUGAGGAAGUCCAAGCUGGUGGCAUGAAGAGGCCACAUGGAAAGGGCUAAAAAAGGGGCCAGCCUCAGUCAUCCCAGCUGAGCACCUGGCUAGGAGUAAAGGAGGACCCCAUGGAUAUCCCGCCCGGUGCAGGGACUCCUGGGAUGGUGUUGCCCAGUGACACAAUCCCAGUGUGGCCAUUUCUGAUCCCGAGAAAGCAGUCAGGAGUGGGUGGCUGCAGUUACAGUUCAUCGAGUCCUGCUGGUUCAAGUCAUGAGUCCUGAAUUCCCUGGGAGGAGCCACUAAAGAAAUGCAGAAGAAGGAAAUCCUUGCAAUAAAGUGGGAUGAGGUUCUUUGGUUGCUGCUGUUAUAGGGGUGGGGUGCAUGUUGGGGCCUGGGGGGUGAGGCUGAGGGCUCCCCCAGUCUGUCCCUCCCUGAGCCUGAGCUCUUGGUUCCCACCCAGCCCGUUGUUUCUUUCUUCUCUGGGAGCACCUGCACCCCCAGUUUGCGGCGUGUCCUGGGGUGAGUCACUGUGAGCCCCAGGUUCCCAUAUGUAAAGGGUGGGUAACGCUCCCUCACCUGCUUCUGCACUAAGCCCUUACAAAGCCCUCAGACGGAGACUGCUGCUUUCAUAUCUUGCAGGCCAUCAAACUGCCAGUGGGAAGGGUGCCCAGGUAACCUGCCCACGUCAGGACGGCCAGGAGAUGGCGGAACCAGAAUCUAAGCCCACUCCCAUCUGACUUCAACGUCUGUGCCCCUGAUGUUUGCACCGAGUCACCUCCUAAGACUUUCUGAAACUGGAUCACAUCCAUUUAUCUCUGAGAGAAAUGCAAGCUUUAAAAAAGGAAAUAUUUACUAUGGAUAUUUUACAAUAGUUCCAAAACAUGAAAGUUUUAAAUAAAAUAUUCUUAACCAUCCUCA